UUUGAUGAUAGGCUAAAUUUUGUCUUGUUAAGGUUAAUUCUACCUUUUUAAUUAAUUAUCUAUAGAUGAUUUUAUAUGCAAAUUUUUGUGUGUUAAAAUUUUAUCUUAAUGAAAAAUUUAAUUUAUUUGCAGUUUUUUAUAUUAUAUAUUUUAGAAAUAAAGAUAUAGUCAAUUAUAUUAGGAUUGUUUAAAGUUGUGCCAGCAGACGCGGUUAUACAAUUGAUUCGAGUUAAUUUUUUUGGUUUAAUUAUUAUUUUAUUAUGAUUUGAGGAUUAAUUAUAAUUUAUUAGGUGAAAUUUUAAUUUAUAUUAUAUUCCUUUGGUUUAAAUAUUAUAAGAAACUUAAUUUAAAAACUAGGAUUAGAUACCCUAUUAUUUUAAGUGUAAAUUUUGACCAUAAUAUUAAUAGAUAAGAUCUUUAAAUUAAAAGAAUAUGGCGGUAAUUUAGUC
This 449-nucleotide ribosomal RNA is filed under the name Hamedius incarnatus. RNAcentral's name for it is "partial small subunit ribosomal RNA". The record is from RNAcentral. Lineage: Eukaryota; Metazoa; Arthropoda; Insecta; Hemiptera; Alydidae.